This 503-nucleotide ribosomal RNA is filed under the name uncultured bacterium. RNAcentral describes it as "partial 16S ribosomal RNA". It matches the Rfam family "Bacterial small subunit ribosomal RNA", at positions 30 to 523 of the family's 1533-position model. The record is from RNAcentral.
AUUAAACGCUGGCGGCAGGCUUAACACAUGCAAGUCGAGCGGGGUGAUGGUGCUUGCACUAUCACUUAGCGGCGGACGGGUGAGUAAUGCUUAGGAAUCUGCCUAUUAGUGGGGGACAACAUCUCGAAAGGGAUGCUAAUACCGCAUACGUCCUACGGGAGAAAGCAGGGGAUCACUUGUGACCUUGCGCUAAUAGAUGAGCCUAAGUCGGAUUAGCUAGUUGGUGGGGUAAAGGCCUACCAAGGCGACGAUCUGUAGCGGGUUUGAGAGGAUGAUCCGCCAGACUGGGACUGAGACACGGCCCAGACUCCUACGGGAGGCAGCAGUGGGGAAUAUUGGACAAUGGGGGGAACCCUGAUCCAGCCAUGCCGCGUGUGUGAAGAAGGCCUUAUGGUUGUAAAGCACUUUAGGCGAGGAGGAGGCUCUGUUGGUUAAUACCCAAGAUGAGUGGACGUUACUCGCAGAAUAAGCACCGGCUAACUCUGUGCCAGCCGCCGCGGUAA